This is a non-coding RNA of Pangasius djambal, 73 nucleotides long. The record is from the annotation of a GenBank genome assembly. Lineage: Eukaryota; Metazoa; Chordata; Actinopteri; Siluriformes; Pangasiidae.
GUCCCUGGAGGAUAGUGUUUAGGCCUCAGCACUCUCACCACUGUGGCCCGGGUUCGAUUCCCAGCCAGGGACC